GAGCAGGAUGAAGCGAAAGUAAAAUUUCGUGGAGGUCCGAACCCACGAGCGUUGAAAAGCUCGGGGAUGACUUGUGGGUAGCGGUGAAAUUCCAAUCGAGCCCGGAGAUAGCUGGUUCUCCCCGAAAUAGCUUUAGGGCUAGCCUCAAGGUGAGAGAUACGGAGGUAGAGCACUGAAUGUCCUAGGGGGUAUUGCACCUACCGAAGACUAUUAAACUCCGAAUGCCGUCAUCUUAUACUUGGGAGUCAGACUGUGGGUGAUAAGAUUCAUAGUCGAAAGGGCAACAGCCCAGAUCGUCAGCUAAGGUCCCUAAA
Molecule: ribosomal RNA, 314 nt
Filed under: Clostridioides difficile
Lineage: Bacteria; Bacillati; Bacillota; Clostridia; Peptostreptococcales; Peptostreptococcaceae
Description: partial 23S ribosomal RNA
Rfam family: Bacterial large subunit ribosomal RNA
Source: RNAcentral